Molecule: long non-coding RNA, 4790 nt
Filed under: Homo sapiens (human)
Lineage: Eukaryota; Metazoa; Chordata; Mammalia; Primates; Hominidae
Description: HSALNT0309227
Source: RNAcentral
CAGUCCCCAAAGAACUUCUACAAGCUCACCCCUCCACUCCCUACUCUCCAGUAUGUUGGAAUUAUGCAGUCUUUCAUUUUUAGAAAUGUAUGUGUAAAAGACCUCAAAGAAUCUUCAGCUCCAGUCUCCUACUUUACACUUGUUUGUAAUUUUUCUGGUUUUUGAAGAUCCUAAGAACUUAAUCUAUAAUUUUCUCUUGCUUAUUAGGCUAGAGACUUAUUAUGGACUCCAAUGGUCUAAUAAAAUGCUCUUUCCUGAAACUUAAACCCAUUUCCUGUUGAAUUCUAUACAGCUGGAGAGUCGUGUUGACUUUUCGUGUCUGAAAUAACAAUCAUGAAGCCUUCACUGCUUUUUCUUUUAUGAGUCAACAACUGUCUUAGUUAAAUUAUUUCUGUACGCAAGAAACAGAAACCAGCUUUAAUAAAUGUUUAAUAAAACUUCACAAGGAAUUUAUUAUAAGGGGAUAUUACAUUCUAUAUAAGGACAAGGAUACACCUGAACCUCAGAAAAGGACUAAAACUAUGAAAUGAAGCAGCUCUGGAACCAAGGUGACUCUCCUAUCAGUAACAAGUAGAGAGUUCAAACAGAGCCUGAAGCCAGACUCCCCAGGUUCAAGUCCCAGGUCCACCACAGGCUCUACCUUCAGAGAAGGGCCAUCAUCACAACCAGUCCUUCUUCCUCAUGAUCAAAUCAUGUAUUCCUUUCUGAAACUCCUGAAGUUCCAUUACACCUCGCUAAAUGUUGCACUCUCUCAAAAGUAUAGAACAAACUCUAUGGGCAGAAAGAGAGAAGCUCAGUAUUCUUCACCUGUAGAAGUCAAUACUUUUCCUGGAAUGAGAAAUAGACCGUUUGUACCUCUAUCUAAUAUCACUACUUCUACUACAUAACUGACCCACAUGCUACACUCUCAUUGAGCUUAGUAGAAUUAAGACAAUAGAGUCUUUUUAAAAAUAGUUUAUCUAUUCAUUUUGAUUUUGAGGACAGUUUAGUUUGUGUCUUCAAGUAAGUGGUAGUGAUUUGCCCUAACUGAGUUUUACACUCUUUUAGAGGUUCUAAUUUCUUCCUUUCCUAUCUUUCAGACUACUGUCUGGAAUUCGAUUACUAUCUUUCAGACUCUCAGCACCCUAUUAUUUCAGGCCAUCUGAAAACUCAACAACUACAUUCUUGAUGCCAUUCUUCAGCUGCUAAUCCAUCUUCAAGUUUGGUCACCCACAGCAUGUAUGACAGAUGUCAUACAAAGCAGAUGGCAGUUGCCAUCAGCACCAACCCCUUUUAUCCUUUCUGCCAAAGGCUGACAAACCUUAUGGUAAUCUUCAAUGAGUCACAGCCUUGUAUAAUCCCUCCCUGUGAAUGUGGGCAGAACUUGUGACUUACUUCUAGCCAAUAAAAUAUGGCAAUGGUGAUGAGAUGUUACCCCCAUGAUUAUGUGACAUUACUUGAAACACUGUUUCAGCACACUGGAGUAAGAUUCUCUUGCUGGCUUUAAUGAACUAAGCUGUCAUGUUGCAAGGGAAUCUAUCAGAGGUCCACAUAGCAAGGAAUGGGAGUGGCCCCUAGGAGCUGACAGUGUCCCCAGCCACUGUCAACCAGCAGGAAAAUGGGGACCUGAGUCCUACAACCCCAAGGAACUGAACUCGGUCAACAAUCUCAAAAGCUCAGAGGAAAACUCUGGCUCCAGGAAGGAAUGCAACCCAGGCAGCAACUUCAUUUCAGCCUCAUGAGUUCCUGAGCACAGAAUCCAAGUAAGCCAUGUCUGGACUCCUAACUCAUGGUAAAUGCAAAUUAUAAAUGAAUGGUGUCUUAGGCCACUGAAUUUGUGGUAAUUUGUUAUGCAGCAAGAUAAAACUAGUGAAGCAUUCAUCUCCUCCCCAUCCAUUCCCUAACCUUCCAUGACCCCUCCUUAUGCUGAACAUGCAAUAAAUCAACGCCCGCCUUAGCUGAUCAUUAAAACAUAAGGAAGGGAGGUGAUAUUGACUGAGCACCCAUGAUCUGCCAGACAAAAUACAAAAUCUCUUUUAAUUCUAUGAGGUAGGUAUUGCUGACUUCGCUAAUGUUUCAUUUUCUUAUCUGAAAACUGGGUGUCAUGGACUGAAUUGUAUCCCCCUCCUAAAAAAUUUAUAGGUUGAAGCCCUAACCCCCAAUGUGACUGUAUUUGUGGAAAGGGCCUAUAAGGAGAUAAUAAAGGUUGAAGGGGUCAUAAAGGUUGUGCCCUAAUCCAACAGGACUGAUAGCCUUACAAGAAGAAGAGACACCAGAGAGCUCUCUCUUUGUGUGCACAGGGAAAAGACCAUGGGAGAACACAGAGAGAAGGCAUCAUCUGAAGCCGAGGAGAGAGGCCUUGCCAGAAACGGACCCUGCUGGCACCUUGGUCUUGGACUUUCAGCCUCCAAAAUGAUUCUUCAGGAGCUUUUCCUUGGUUUUUAAGAAACUUCCCAAUUAAGGAGUACCUAAACCAAUGUAUACCAACAACUAAAUUAUCCUGCAAGACAGCGUUGCUACCAGAAGACUCUGAGACCUGCUAUCUUUUUUUAUUUAAAGGAAAGACUAUAUUACAGAGGUAUUAAAAUCUAGUGCAGCAGAAGGAAUGACACUAUCAAAGAAUGUGAAACAACUAAAAAGGAAAUAAUCUGUGCAAGUAAAUGUUAACACUGUAUCUGUGGACCACCCGAAACCACCUGUUGACCGUCUACCUAACAGUCUGAAGAAGGCAUUACUGGUUAGAGGGUGUCUUUUCUCUAAGUGGCAACUCCAGAACAAGAUGUCUUCCAACUUGUGACUCCACCAGACUCCUCUGUAUCUAACUGGAGGAGAAAUCAUGAAGAAGGCACACACGCUUCUCAAAAAUAUGACUUAGAAUCCACACACAUCACAUCUGCUCAUGUUCCCUUGGUGAGAAUUAAUCAUGUGGUCACUGCUGGAUAAAAGGGGAGCCAAGGAAUGUGGUCCCUGGCUGGACUGCCAUUUCCUAAGAAAGCCCUAAUCCAUGGAAGGAGAAGCAGGAAUUGUACUAGGCAGCUCUCUUGGCCACAACCCAGGCUAACCCAGGGAUUCUGGAAAGAUAAGUCAUUAUCUACACCUGAGAUGACUCUUGCAUUCUGAAAAAGCGAAUCUGAGAAAAUAGUUGUAUUCCAUGGGAGACUACUUAAAACUAAAUGAAAAAAAUAACCACUUAAACCAAGCAUGUAAUUAUAGAUUCUUAGAUUUGAAAGAGAUUAUCUAUCACACAGAAAUAUUCCACCUAGAACAAAUGCUCAAAGAGGUGGCACCGUGUCACGUCCCUUCUGAGAUGCAGUUAGAUUGACCUCCGCGGGUUUCAUCAUCAUGUUGGUCUGUCCCUCUCUCCCUCACCACCCGCAGCAAAACCAAUUUGUGGUUCCACUGAAGCAGAGAAAAAUCAAGAACCACAGGCUGCCUCACUUAGUGGUAAACCGUAAAAGGCCUCAGAAACCAUUGCUUCUAAAUCAAUAUAAAAGCAUUUCUACACUUCCAUUACCCUCAGGAAAUUGAACUUGGUGGAGAGCUCUUCCAUUUAAUGAAAUUUACCCCUUUUACAACCAAAACUUGUUUUUUGUAAAUUAAGACACUUGGAACACUUUCUAGAAUGUGUUAUGUACUUCCAUACCUUUUAAAACAGCAAACAGUGGACCAGCAUGCAGUCUUUUCCUGAUGAUACAGGGCUUACCAACAACAGUCACAUGAUACAGGUUCUUUUUGGCCUCAAGCUGAAUGACUUGGACUGUUAUAGAUUUGGAAUCCUUGUGGCUUCUCUGAUUCUGCCCAUGUUAGACUGCCUCAUUGCUCCUCACUUCUGGGUCCUGCUUGGUGUGGCUACUUCUUGCCUUAUAACACUCCCUAUCUGCUGCGGGUUUGAAAACCAAAUAGCAAAACUACUGAGGGCAUUUGACUCUUACUUUACACACAACUCUAAAUAAAAGACGUGCUUCUGAGUCCAUCUCAGAAUCUUCAGCAUAUAUUAUGUGACACUUUGUUUCUUCAGAGUUCCCUUGUACUCAGUUCCCAGUUUUCUUUGCUCCACGUAGGUGAAGCUGUUGGACAACUGAGUUCCAAAUGAAUUAUGUGGUUAGUUACAAUACUCUCAUCAUCUAUUAGUUAGGAUUUGCAUUUGCAGGUGACCCAAGACCAAAUCAAACUGGCUUAAGCUCAUAGAGUUGAGAAAUCCAUCACUUCGGGCACAGCCAGGUCCAGGUAUUCAAGCAAUAUUGUCAAAGUGUCAUUUCUCAACAUCGUGGGCUCUACCAUGUUGCCUUUGGUCUAGGCAAAGGUGGUCACUAGCAUCGACGGCCUUUUAUUCUACCAGCUUAGCAAUUACAACAAAAACUGAGUAUCUUUUCUUCUGUAGUCAAGCAAAAAUCUCGGCACUGAUCUUUAUUAGCCUAAGUUGGAUCACAUAACAUGAACCAAUUACAGUGACGAAAUGGGGUUAAAGUUUAUGGAAGGUGAUUGUUUUGGAUUAGUCUUCUUCACUAGGCCCCAGCAGACCAGACGAAACCAGAAUGGAGUCACUUGUGCUAACUGCCACGUAAGAAAAACGAACUUUGAAAUGGGCUGGUUUUCAACUAAAAAAAAAAACAAUUGGAGAUUCUAGUCAACCUGAGUCAGUGUAAUAAGGAAGUUCGCUCUGCUUUAACCCUACAAGGGAAGUAACUUUGAAACAACCAGUCCUCUUUUUGAUACCUGUUUCUGCUUUUCUUCACCCCUUUUCUGUCUGUAAAGCCAACCUCCUCUGCUCAGCUCAUCAGAACACUAAUUCUAUUUUAUAAGAUGAUGUG